This 477-nucleotide ribosomal RNA is filed under the name uncultured marine eukaryote. Its description in RNAcentral is "bacterial SSU rRNA". It matches the Rfam family "Eukaryotic small subunit ribosomal RNA", at positions 617 to 1098 of the family's 1831-position model. The record is from RNAcentral.
GGCUAAAAAGCUCGUAGUUGGAUUUCUAGAUGAGAGGAGGGGUCCACUCUACGAGUGUGUAUCUUCUUCCGCUCGUCUAUCCGCUCAGCAUGCGUUGCUGCGCUUGAUUGCGUGGCGCGUGGGUUGGGCCUUCUACUUUGAGGAAAUUAGAGUGUUCACGGCAGGCUUGCGCCCUGAAUAUAUUAGCAUGGAAUGAUAACAUAGGAUCUUGGUCCUACUUUGUUGGUUUCUAGGACUAGGAUAAUGAUUAAUAGGGACAAUUGGGGGCAUUCGUAUCGCGGUGCUAGAGGUGGAAUUCUUAGAUUUCCGCGCGACGAACUACCGCGAAAGCAUUUGCCAAGGAUGUUUUCAUUGAUCAAGAACGAAAGUAAGGGGAUCGAAGACGAUUAGAUACCGUCGUAGUCUUUACCAUAAACUAUGCCAACUAGAGAUGGGACGUCGUUCUUACAUGACUCGUUCCGCACCCUUAUGAGAAAU